RNAcentral lists this unclassified non-coding RNA (5613 nucleotides) under Hevea brasiliensis (rubber tree). The record is from RNAcentral. Lineage: Eukaryota; Viridiplantae; Streptophyta; Magnoliopsida; Malpighiales; Euphorbiaceae.
AAAAUAGAUGAAUUUCAUUAUAUAUUUUAUAUCUUGGUAUAUGAUAGGACCGAGAUUUAUGUACAACAAAUCCAGCUGGGCCAAAAAGGAAAAAGGCUAAUGGAUUCCCUUACAUAGGGACAUAUAUGAAAGAGUAAAAAGAAGAGAAAAGAUCAUCAAUAAAUUAAUUCAAUACCCAAAAUUCCAAGUACUAAUAGACACAGAUUAGGGAACAUUACAACAAACAAGCAUAUUAUUACAUAGCACACCAUUAGCAACCUCAGUUUCCUGCCUCCAUUCCAAUGGUGAAACACAAGCAAAGUCAAUCAAAUCAUCAGUUAUGAGAAAAAAUGAGAUGAUCCUCAGAGCCUAUCAAUGUCUUCUCGCAAAUGCAAUGCAUCUAACAUCCUUAAAAAACGAAAAAUAAAUAAAAAAGAAUCUGCUGCAGAGAACAUGAAACUACAGUUCAGAAUAUUGUCCAAAGAGUAAAUUUUUGUCGCAUAAAAAGUUCGAGAAAAGAAUGUCAACUCUUUAGAAAACAUUGGUUUGUAGAUCCAGGAGUUCAAGAUCAAUGAGUUCAGCUUCCUUUUCAGCUUCAGUCUCAAAAAGAGGAGCAUCAAGCUCAGGAGGAUUCAGACAGCGAACUAAUGCCCAAUUAACACCCUUGAAGAAUGGAUGCCUCUUAAUCUCAUUUGCUCCUUCGUGUGAACCUAAUCUCUUCUUGGGAUCUCUGUGCAGUAACCGAUACAUUAACUGCUUUGCAUUAAAACUAACCUGCACCAGUCACUAUAUGCAUUAACAUCUUACAUUCACUUUGUAUGGGAAAUGUUAAGCAAUCUGGACCAUAUAUUGAGGUUUCCAAAUGUAGUCCGAGGUGACAUGACUGCAAUCUGGAAUGUUCGUGGGUAGUUAUUGAUGUUUAAUUGCUCAUUAAUAGAUGUUGAGUGAGUGAGAGAUGAUCUCACCUGCCCACUUCUUGGAAAUUUAAGAUCUUUGUGAAGAAUAUUGGCAAAUGUGUUUUGCCUUGUCUUUCCCCUAAAUGGUGUAUGUCCGUACAGCAUUUCAUAUAGAAGGAUACCAAGAGCCCACCAGUCCACUGCACUGGUAUGGCCUGCCCCAGUUAUAAUUUCCUGAUAAAGAAUAUAAUGGAAAUUUAGAAUCACUAAACGAAAUUGAAGAAGCAAAGUCAUGAGAAGAUACAUGCAGCUUAACCCCAAGAAGAAAAAAUGAAAAAUGAGGGUGGCUGGAAAGUUUUAAAUUUGAACCUUCCAAAAUUAUGUUUGGCAUUUUUUUUUAACUCGAUCAAGAAUUAUCACCUUCAGCAUGGCUCAGACCAACUUGGAAUAUGAAAAUCUUGAAUUUGGAAUUUCUAUUAUAUACUUAAAGAUUGACAGAUGAAUGACUCUUAGCCAGUAGGUGAACCUCUAGGUGUACAUUGUCAGAUAAUGAUACAUGCAAUCACUUUGCUGCUUGGAUGACUAAGGAUUAUUUACAGAAUAGGCAGAUUGAAAUAAAACGAACCGGGGCUAUAUACUCUUCAGUGCCAACAAAAGAAUUUGAAGCUCUGAUGGGUUCAGCCAUAAAUACUGGAGGUUGCUGCUGACGUUUAUGGCGCUUUUUCUUUUCAUUUAUACUUGGAAUCAAAAGCUGUGGUUUGCAUGAUGUCAAACAUGAUAGAUCAAAAUCUGUUAAGGACACAUGUCCAUUACUCUGAAGUAAAACGUUUUCAGGCUUUAAAUCCCUGUAUAUUAUCCCUUGACAGUGAAGGUACUCCAAUGCAACAACUACCUCUGCAGCAUAAAAUCUGUGAUCAUCAAACAUUUAUGUCAGGGAUGUAGGAGGGUUAUCACAUAAGAGUCAAAAAAGUAACUAGACCCCUCACAUAGAGACCACCAAUAUUUUGAAAAUGAUUUUUCCUUUAACAGGAUCAAAUUUGCAUUUUUUGUAGGACCAAAUUCAAAGAAUGAUGCAUAUCCGAAAUCUUGAAGUAAAGAACAGCUAAAAAAAAAUUAGAAAGAAAAAGAAAACAUUAAUGCGAGUGCUAAGUUUUAUUACUAGUGGAUAUUGUAAACAUUAAUAUUAUAUUUUUUAUUUCCAACACUUCAUAGUGAACCUUUUUGACAUUUUGUACUUCCUUUACCUCACAGCAUCUUCCUUAAGUACUUUUGUUGGUUGUCUUUCCAAAAGCAUGAAGAGCUCACCACCAGGGCAGUAAUCAGUUAUCAGACAAAUAUGUGUUUUCGUCUGAGAAGUAAGAGAACAUUAGGAUUUGAAGCAUGAAAAUAAUUCAAGUCAAUUAGCUAACUUCGGAAUUGAAAAUCACAUAGAUGAGCAUCUAACUUGCAUUCAAUUUGCAAAGACUGCUGGUGCUUGAUUAAAAAUAUCUACUAUCAACCUAGCUUAUGCCCAUUUUCUAACCUGAAAUGAAGCAUAUAAUGCAGGAAGGAAAGGGUGAUCCAACUUGUCAAGAAUUUCUCUUUCUGCACAAGCUCUAUGCACCUGCAUUGAAGAAAAGAAGUCGUGUACGACAAUAGAGAAUUCCAGAAGCUACAGAAGCAGCUAAAACAAUGUAAAUUCUAAACUUGGCUUAUUCAGAAACUAUCUAAUACUUACACUUUGUAAUCAUAUACUAAUUUAUUGUUCCAAGUCAUCCACAAGACCAGAAGAAAGAUAUAAACGUAGUUAUCAUAAUUCAAUUCUUAUACCUUAUUGCGGUUGAGCAUAACAUUCUUAUCCAUAGCUUUCAUGGCAAAAAACUGACCAGUUCCACACAAUUCUACCAAAUGCACACUGUCAUGCCAAUUGACAAGUCAGAUAGAAUAUCUAAGAGACGGUAAAAUAUAAGAAAUGGAGGGUUAUUGAAAAAUUCUCAGAUGCAUUCUAUAUUCUUUGUUACCACUGCAUUGGAAUAAAACCAAUGCCACGUUUUCCGCAAAUUUGAAUCAGUUCUACAGAAAAAUCCAAAAUUACUUGAUUGUGAUUUACAUUGUUUCAGAUACACAAAACUGAAAAAGGAUACAGGAAAAAGAAGAAAGACAAACCUGCCAGUGUCACCAGAACCCAAGGGUUUUAUUGGCCUAAAAUGUUUCAGUCCUAUUUGUUCUCCAUUGUCUAAGAUCUGCAGGGUUAUGUAUAUGAACCAAUGCGAUUAAACAGGAAAAACAAGUCCAUUGGAGAACAAAUUCUUUUAAUGAUUAUGGUCAUUUAGAAAUAUCAGAAAGAUAUUUUUAGGACUUAUAAUGCUGAUGCAGUAAGAUCACAAAUAUCAAACCACCUAUGAAGCUUUCCAGGAGAAGCAUCAGAAACACUGAAAGAUUAAUACCGUUUGAAUUGCUUUCCAAGAGGGGGUAUCCUUCCUAUGAGGCUUUGGAAUAACAACCUUUGAAUGGUUUGCCCACAAAUCUUCUGGUUUCAAAUUGGCAUCUGGAAGUUCUCUCACUGCUUCAUCAACAUUUUCUGCAGUUUGUUUCACCAGUUUUUCACUCUCUUGUGCAGUUUCCUCUGCAAUACAGUUGAUGCGAGGCUCAACGUGCUCACUGCCAUCUAGUUGUACUCCAAUGAAAUACUGUACUUCUCCCUUUUGAUCGCGCAUAGGUUGCAGAUGGAACAGGUUCCAGAACUUCUUGCCACUCUUUGUAUAGUUAAUGAGCUGAACAGUAACAUCUGUCUGGUUAUCAAUUGCCUCUCUUAUUUUCCUCACAGUAGCUGGAUCAGUUUCAGGCCCUUGCAAAAAUCUGCAAUUUCUUCCCAAGAUUUCUUCACGGCUGUACUCUGUCAGCUCUAAGAAGCUAUCAGAGGCAAAUAUAAUGGGAUUAUCUGGUAGCCUUGGAUCAGUAAUGACAAAGUUUUUCUCUAUACGUUCAAGUGUUGUAGCGAGAUCGAUACCCUUUCUCAUUUCCUUCUUCCUUACUUUGUCAUCAACACUAUCAAGCCUUGUAUCAUCAUCACUCAUCCCCUCUUCUUCAUCAUCAGCAUUGAAAACAAGUUCAUCAUCCAAGCUCUCAGCUUUGGAUUGUGUGCUUUUCCUCAUGAACCCCAUUAAAGAGUGGCGGAUAGAUUUUCUUGGUUUCUUCUCUGGCAACUCAUUUAUAUGCUGCAUUGAGCUUUUAGUGCCCCCAGGAGAACUCCGUCUACUUGAAGAAGGUAAAUUCUCGGAGUUUCGCUUUCCCAGAGCUCCUUUUCUUUCCUCUUCUCCACCACCUUCAGAUUUCCUCACCAAGGGGUGAUUAGUAGAUUCACUAAGUGAACGAGGUCCCUUCACUGCUUGAACAAGUUCAUUUACUGAACUUGCAGCCAUCUCCUUCUGACGUGCAUCAUAUCGGAUCAAAGAUUCAGGCAAUCCAUUGGGACGCAAUGUCUUAUCCUUGGACCCCUCUGUAUACUUGCUAACCUCCACAAGCAUUCCAAUAUAUUUGAGAACUUUCCCAGAAUCAUCCUUGAUUGGAGCAAUAGUAAGAAGGUUCCAAAAUGGUGUCCCAUCUUUCUUAUAAUUCAGCAGUCUCCCACAGUAACUAUUCCCUGCCCGCAAGGCCUCUCUUAUUUUAGCUACGUCUUCUGGGUCCGUACCAGCACCUUGUAAAAACCGACAGUUCCUGCCUAUGACUUCUUUAGAGGUAUAUCCAGUCAUUCUAAAGAAGCCCGCACUUGCAUACAUUAUUGGGUAGUCAGGUUUCGUAGCAUCUGAUACCACAAAUGUUUGUUGGAAGGAGGAUAAUGCAUCUUUUAUGUCUUCAGAUACUCUUGGAAUUCCUUUAAAUUCUUUUCCUCCAUCAUCCUCUGGUGAGUCCCCGGAGCUCUCAACCAAGUUAUUCGAGUUUCUUAUCGAUGUGCCCGGUUUACUGUUAUUCGGUUCAUCCCCACCCGAAGUACUCACCCCGACCCCUUGCGGCUUGCCUGUUUCAGUGUCGGUUUUCAACACUAGGCCCCACUCAGCCGCUCUUUUUGCUGCCACACCCGCUUCCCCAAAUAAUUUUGUGGUCGUCUCAGUAGUUGUUGAUUUCUUGUCAUUAUCAGAUUGUGAUUGUGUUGGUGACGACAAUAAUGGUGGUUGGGUGGAGUCUUUGAGAGCCAUCCAUGAGGUGAUUUCCUGGGUUCGAACCGACUUGGAAGAUAAACUGGAUGAAUCGGAUUUUGGGUUAUCAUUAGGUUGUUCAACCCAAGUUUGCCAAGUGGUGUUGGAGCGGAAGGCUAGGCUUGUGGGUCGGGUCGAAUAGGUGGAGGAUGGAUUGAAUACUUCAAGUGAUCCGCGAGAGUCUCUAGGCAAGGGAGGCAUUAAAGAUGACUGCUUGUUGGAUGAGUUGCCAGUUGGUUCCAUCUCUGCAUAAUACACAUGAAAAAAAAUAAGCAGCUGUGCACACAGCUAGCUCUCUUGACUGCCCAUGAGAGUGAGUGAUAACACUGUGAAACAAGGUGAAGAUAGGUGAUGUCUUCUGCUGAUUGAGGUGCUAAUUAACUUCUGGGUAUGCAAAAGGAAGCCUCUAUGGAAACUCUGGAAACGAAACUGAUCAACCUGAAAGCUUUAUAUUUAUACCUUGAAGAUGGUGGAUGCCUCACACGGUGGAAGCUAGGUGGAGAGUGGAGAGAGCAGAAAGAAACGAGAUGAUAUGGAGCAGAAAGAACUUUUGAUUGCAAGAC